UCGAGGGCCUGCAUUAGUAAG
RNAcentral lists this non-coding RNA (21 nucleotides) under Arabidopsis thaliana (thale cress). The record is from RNAcentral. Lineage: Eukaryota; Viridiplantae; Streptophyta; Magnoliopsida; Brassicales; Brassicaceae.